RNAcentral lists this ribosomal RNA (1372 nucleotides) under uncultured bacterium. Its description in RNAcentral is "bacterial SSU rRNA". It matches the Rfam family "Bacterial small subunit ribosomal RNA", at positions 28 to 1381 of the family's 1533-position model. The record is from RNAcentral.
GAUGAACGCUGGCGGCGUGCCUAAUACAUGCAAGUCGAGCGAACGGACGAGAAGCUUGCUUCUCUGAUGUUAGCGGCGGACGGGUGAGUAACACGUGGAUAACCUACCUAUAAGACUGGGAUAACUUCGGGAAACCGGAGCUAAUACCGGAUAAUAUUUUGAACCGCAUGGUUCAAAAGUGAAAGACGGUCUUGCUGUCACUUAUAGAUGGAUCCGCGCUGCAUUAGCUAGUUGGUAAGGUAACGGCUUACCAAGGCAACGAUGCAUAGCCGACCUGAGAGGGUGAUCGGCCACACUGGAACUGAGACACGGUCCAGACUCCUACGGGAGGCAGCAGUAGGGAAUCUUCCGCAAUGGGCGAAAGCCUGACGGAGCAACGCCGCGUGAGUGAUGAAGGUCUUCGGAUCGUAAAACUCUGUUAUUAGGGAAGAACAUAUGUGUAAGUAACUGUGCACAUCUUGACGGUACCUAAUCAGAAAGCCACGGCUAACUACGUGCCAGCAGCCGCGGUAAUACGUAGGUGGCAAGCGUUAUCCGGAAUUAUUGGGCGUAAAGCGCGCGUAGGCGGUUUUUUAAGUCUGAUGUGAAAGCCCACGGCUCAACCGUGGAGGGUCAUUGGAAACUGGAAAACUUGAGUGCAGAAGAGGAAAGUGGAAUUCCAUGUGUAGCGGUGAAAUGCGCAGAGAUAUGGAGGAACACCAGUGGCGAAGGCGACUUUCUGGUCUGUAACUGACGCUGAUGUGCGAAAGCGUGGGGAUCAAACAGGAUUAGAUACCCUGGUAGUCCACGCCGUAAACGAUGAGUGCUAAGUGUUAGGGGGUUUCCGCCCCUUAGUGCUGCAGCUAACGCAUUAAGCACUCCGCCUGGGGAGUACGACCGCAAGGUUGAAACUCAAAGGAAUUGACGGGACCCGCACAAGCGGUGGAGCAUGUGGUUUAAUUCGAAGCAACGCGAAGAACCUUACCAAAUCUUGACAUCCUUUGACAACUCUAGAGAUAGAGCCUUCCCCUUCGGGGGGGCAAAGUGACAGGUGGUGCAUGGUUGUCGUCAGCUCGUGUCGUGAGAUGUUGGGUUAAGUCCCGCAACGAGCGCAACCCUUAAGCUUAGUUGCCAUCAUUAAGUUGGGCACUCUAAGUUGACUGCCGGUGACAAACCGGAGGAAGGUGGGGAUGACGUCAAAUCAUCAUGCCCCUUAUGAUUUGGGCUACACACGUGCUACAAUGGACAAUACAAAGGGCAGCGAAACCGCGAGGUCAAGCAAAUCCCAUAAAGUUGUUCUCAGUUCGGAUUGUAGUCUGCAACUCGACUACAUGAAGCUGGAAUCGCUAGUAAUCGUAGAUCAGCAUGCUACGGUGAAUACGUUCCCGGGUCU